GAUGAACGCUGGCGGUGUGGAUAAGGCAUGCAAGUCGAGCGAUUGAGCACCCUUUUGGUGCUUGAUAGCGGCGAACGAGUUAGUAACACGUGGAUACGUACCCUGAAGACGGGCAUAAUCCCGCGAAAGCGGGACUAAUUCCCGAUAGUUCUCGUAAGAGUAAAGAAGCAAUUCGCUUCAGGAGCGGUCCGCGGCCUAUCAGCUUGUUGGUGAGGUAAUGGCCCACCAAGGCUAUGACGGGUAGGGGAGGUGAGAGCCUGUUCCCCAACGAUGGGACUGAGAUACGGCCCAUACUCCUACGGGAGGCAGCAGUCAAGGACAUUGGACAAUGGGGGAAACCCUGAUCCAGCGACGCCGCGUGCGGGAUGAAGGCCUUCGGGUUGUAAACCGCUUUUAUAGAGGAAGAAUCGAGCUUAGCUCGAUGACGGUACUCUAUGAAUAAGGGGGUGCUAACUCUGUGCCAGCAGCAGCGGUAAUACAGAGCCCCCAAGCGUUAUCCGGAUUUAUUGGGCGUAAAGCGUCUGUAGCCGGUUUGGAAAGUCUCUUGUUAAAUACCAAGGGCUCAACCUUUGGAAUGCAAGGGAAACUUCCAGACUCGAGGAUGUUAGGGGCUGAUGGAACUCUUGGUGGAGGGGUGGAAUCCGUUGAUAUCAAGAGGAACACCAAAAGCGAAGGCAUUCAGCUGGAACAGUCCUGACGGUGAGAGACGAAAGCGUGGGGAGCAAAAAGGAUUAGAUACCCUUGUAGUCCACGCCGUAAACGAUGGAUACUAGCUAUGUGAAGUGUCGACCCUUCACGUGGCGAAGCUAACGCGUUAAGUAUCCCGCCUGGGAAGUACGAUCGCAAGAUUAAAACUCAAAGGAAUAGACGG
Molecule: ribosomal RNA, 871 nt
Filed under: uncultured bacterium
Lineage: Bacteria
Description: bacterial SSU rRNA
Rfam family: Bacterial small subunit ribosomal RNA
Source: RNAcentral